GGCAGCACAUAACAUAAAAACAUUAUAUAUCUACAAGUGUGUUUACUAAAUACAUGUAUUAUUAUGCUAAUGUAAUUUAAUUGAUAAAGGUUUUUUUUAUUUAAGAAAAUCUGAGCAUCACUCAAAAUAACUGUCAACAUGUUUGUCAACUAAACAUGUUUUGUAAACGUUAUACAUUUUAUAAAAAUAUUUAAUAUUUUUAUUAUUGAUAAAGUAUAAAGAACAAAUCAGUGUGAAAACGCAGAUUAUAAAAAGUACAUAAAGUGCCAGCAGAGGAUCCAAAAUAAUGAAAAAAAAAAAAAAACAUCCAAUGCAACUUGGAAAUUGUAGUCAAAAUACAUCUACAGCAGCAUGCUAAAGCAGUACCAACGCCAGGGCAAAAGACUCAAAUUCCCAGAAUGCACCUGCACCCACCCAUUCAUUCCCACCAAUCAGGAUCAACGGCAUUUUUCAAACCGCUACUGACUCGUUUUCAUGCUAAACAGUACGGCUGAGAGGUCAUGUACCAUGUGGUCGACCUUGCUGACGCUGAAGAGGUUUCUGUGUAAAAAUGAUGACAUUGAGACAAACAGACCAGUUCUGGCUGCCGUGGAGGUCAACACACCACUGAUCUACUGGCUGCCCUUCAACGUGAUGCCCAGCCGAUGCCUGACCACCGACGGAACUAGGGCUGCACGAUAAGUCGCAUGUGUUUGUCAGGCGCAUCUCCUCAGUAAUGCCGGUUCCUUGAUUAGUAU
This is a non-coding RNA of Paramisgurnus dabryanus, 737 nucleotides long. The record is from RefSeq and is a predicted model, not a curated record. Lineage: Eukaryota; Metazoa; Chordata; Actinopteri; Cypriniformes; Cobitidae.